Molecule: ribosomal RNA, 487 nt
Filed under: bacterium 3AS4
Lineage: Bacteria
Description: bacterial SSU rRNA
Rfam family: Bacterial small subunit ribosomal RNA
Source: RNAcentral
GGCCUAACNCUGCAAGUCGGACGGUAGCACAGAANAGCUUGCUCUUCGGGUGACGAGUGGCGGACGGGUGAGUAAUGUCUGGGAAACUGCCUGAUGGAGGGGGAUAACUACUGGAAACGGUAGCUAAUACCGCAUAACCUCGCAAGAGCAAAGUGGGGGACCUUCGGGCCUCACGCCAUCGGAUGUGCCCAGAUGGGAUUAGCUAGUAGGUGGGGUAACGGCUCACCUAGGCGACGAUCCCUAGCUGGUCUGAGAGGAUGACCAGCCACACUGGAACUGAGACACGGUCCAGACUCCUACGGGAGGCAGCAGUGGGGAAUAUUGCACAAUGGGCGCAAGCCUGAUGCAGCCAUGCCGCGUGUAUGAAGAAGGCCUUCGGGUUGUAAAGUACUUUCAGCGGGGAGGAAGGCGGUAAGGUUAAUAACCUUACCCAUUGACGUUACCCCCAAAAAAANCAGCCUCCUCUCCGUGUCUGCAUGCACGGUAA